This 267-nucleotide signal recognition particle RNA is filed under the name Paenibacillus cisolokensis. RNAcentral's name for it is "signal recognition particle sRNA large type". It matches the Rfam family "Bacterial large signal recognition particle RNA". Rfam says of the family: The signal recognition particle (SRP) is a universally conserved ribonucleoprotein involved in the co-translational targeting of proteins to membranes. RNAcentral also lists the same sequence under 1 other name. Lineage: Bacteria; Bacillati; Bacillota; Bacilli; Caryophanales; Paenibacillaceae. The record is from RNAcentral.
CCGUGCUAGAUGGGGAGGUAGCGGUGCCCUGUAACUCGCAAUCCGCUGUAGCGAGGUUGAAUUCCUGCUUGAGGUUAUGCUGAUGCGAGGCCUGGUGUUCGUGAACAGUGCUGACAGUCGGGUCCUCCGCAAUGGAUACUUGUGAACCCGGUCAGGUCCGGAAGGAAGCAGCCGUAAGCAAGCCCAUCCAUGUGCCGGGGGAGUGCCUGGCUCGAGCUGGAAUCGAGAGUGCCGUUCGGGUCGCAUGGAUCGAGGGCAGGUGCACGG